Molecule: long non-coding RNA, 793 nt
Filed under: Nicotiana benthamiana
Lineage: Eukaryota; Viridiplantae; Streptophyta; Magnoliopsida; Solanales; Solanaceae
Description: long non-coding RNA (NBEN_LNC031623)
Source: RNAcentral
GAUUACAAGGUAGAAAAAACUUAAAAAACGGCUAAGCCUUCUUUUAGACUCUGAAUACUGAAAAUUGUUUGAAAUUUAAUUGGUUUUGUUCUUUGAGUUCAGUGAUAGUCAGAAUUUUUAAAAAGCUUCAAAGAGCUAGGCUAAUCUAGGUUUAAUUUGGUUUGAAAGAAGCUGGUUUUGCUGAGUUGUUGAGCUGAUUCUGCUGCUGUUGCUAAUUCUUCAUUCUCCUUGUUUUUUUUGACUUCCAGGAAUCUUUUGGAGCAUAGAUAACAUAUGAGAUGUAAACACACAAAUUGAACGUGGAUAUAUUAUGAACAUCCAUGUCUUUUUGUUGAAUUUUACUCCUUAUUCUUCAAUCUCAUUCAUAGGUUGUAAUAUUUUAGUAUUAGGUGCAUUUUGUUAGUCUUUUUCAUGUUAUGGAUGUGAUGCCUUAUUGUUGAGCUGAAGUUUACAUUCUCUGGGUCUCUUGUUAGUUGUUUGGUUGGUUUAAACUUGCUAUGGGUAGGGAAAAUGCCUCAGGUUAUUUGCAAUAAGCGCUAAGCUCGAUGUUGAAUUACUAUUGGUCUGUGUUUGAGUAUGCUUAAAGUUAACUUGAUGUUUAGAUUCAGGUUUGUCAUAUGACAAUUUCAUGGGGUUUUCGUUGCUAUUGUAUGUAUCAAAAGGGUCUAAAUUAGGUUUAAACUUCAUAUAAUUUUCUAUAAGCUGGCUUGGAGAUCAAUUAAAUAUGAAUACUGUACAACUUCGUUUCUUAUGUAACUAGUGCAGUUGGAUUCAGAAUAAUGUUUAUUUUAGG